This 253-nucleotide ribosomal RNA is filed under the name uncultured bacterium. Its description in RNAcentral is "partial 16S ribosomal RNA". It matches the Rfam family "Bacterial small subunit ribosomal RNA", at positions 524 to 776 of the family's 1533-position model. The record is from RNAcentral.
GACGAACCGUACGAACGUUAUUCGGAAUCACUGGGCUUAAAGGGUGCGUAGGCUGCGCAGCAAGUUGGGUGUGAAAUCCCUCGGCUUAACCGAGGAACUGCGCCCAAAACUGCUGUGCUCGAGGGAGAUAGAGGUGAGCGGAACUUAGGGUGGAGCGGUGAAAUGCGUUGAUAUCCUAAGGAACACCGGUGGCGAAAGCGGCUCACUGGAUCUCUUCUGACGCUGAGGCACGAAAGCGUGGGUAGCAAACAGG